This 1985-nucleotide ribosomal RNA is filed under the name human gut metagenome. Its description in RNAcentral is "bacterial LSU rRNA". It matches the Rfam family "Bacterial large subunit ribosomal RNA", at positions 431 to 2421 of the family's 2925-position model. The record is from RNAcentral.
AUCCUGCUCGAAGAUGGGGGGACCAUCCUCCAAGGCUAAAUACUCGUGAUCGACCGAUAGCGUACCAGUACUGUGAAGGAAAGGUUAAAAGAACCCCGGGAGGGGAGUGAAAUAGAUCCUGAAACCGCAUACAUACAAACAGUAGGAGCCUCGUUAAGGGGUGACUGCGUACCUUUUGCAUAAUGGGUCAGCGACUUACGUUUAAUGGCGAGCUUAACCGUAUAGGGGAGGCGCAGCGAAAGCGAGUUCGAACAGAGCGUUCAGUCGUUAGGCGUAGACCCGAAACCAGAUGAUCUAUCCAUGGCCAGGUUGAAGGUGUGGUAACACACACUGGAGGACCGAACCGACUAGUGUUGCAAAAUUAGCGGAUGAGCUGUGGAUAGGGGUGAAAGGCUAAACAAAUCUGGAGAUAGCUGGUUCUCCCCGAAAACUAUUGAGGUAGUGCCUCGUGUAUGACUCCAGGGGGUAGAGCACUGUUAUGGCUAGGGGGACAUGGCGUCUUACCAAACCAUGGCAAACUCCGAAUACUUGGAAGUUUGAGCACGGGAGACAGAGCACCGGGUGCUAACGUCCGGACUCAAGAGGGAAACAACCCAGACCGCCGGCUAAGGUCCCUAAUAUUGACUAAGUGGAAAACGAAGUGGAAAGGCUAAGACAGUCAGGAAGUUGGCUUAGAAGCAGCCAUCCUUCAAAGAAAGCGUAAUAGCUCACUGAUCGAGUCUUUCUGCGCGGAAGAUGUAACGGGGCUAAGUCAAUAACCGAAGCCGCGGAUUCACACUUGUGUGUGAGUGGUAGGGGAGCGUUCUGUAAGCCUGCGAAGGUGACUCGUAAGGGUUGCUGGAGGUAUCAGAAGUGCGAAUGCUGACAUGAGUAACGUUAAAGCGGGUGAAAAGCCCGCUCGCCGUAAGCCCAAGGUUUCCUGCUCUACGUUCAUCGGAGCAGGGUGAGUCGGCCCCUAAGGUGAGGCUGAGAAGCGUAACUGAUGGGAACAAGGUUAAUAUUCCUUGACCACCGCUGAAUGCGAAGGGGGGACGGAGUAUUGAAGAUCAUCCGGGUGUUGGAUAUCCCGGUUUGCGAGCGUAGGAGGCUGACAGGCAAAUCCGUCAGCGAAUCUCCGAGGCAAAGCAUCGAGCUCUCUUUUGAGCGAAGUGAUUGGAUGUGCUUCCAGGAAAAGCCUCUAAGCUCCAGUUCAGCGGGACCGUACCGCAAACCGACACUGGUGGGCGAGCUGAAUAUGCUCAGGCGCUUGAGAGAACUCAGGAGAAGGAACUCGGCAAAUUGACACCGUAACUUCGGGAUAAGGUGUGCCUUUGUAGCGUGGAGGGAGAAACACCCCGAGCGCGAAGAGGUCUCAGAUAAUCGGUGGCUGCGACUGUUUAUUAAAAACACAGCACUCUGCAAAGACGAAAGUCGACGUAUAGGGUGUGAUGCCUGCCCGGUGCUGGAAGAUUAAUUGAUGGGGUGCAAGCUCCUGAUCGAAGUCCCAGUAAACGGCGGCCGUAACUAUAACGGUCCUAAGGUAGCGAAAUUCCUUGUCGGGCAAGUUCCGACCUGCACGAAUGGCAUAACGAUGGCCACACUGUCUCCUCCUGAGACUCAGUGAAGUUGAAGUGUUUGUGAUGAUGCAAUCUCCCCGCGGCUAGACGGAAAGACCCCAUGAACCUUUACUGUAGCUUUGCAUUGGACUUUGAACCGAUCUGUGUAGGAUAGGCGGGAGCCUGUGAAACCACAACGCCAGUUGUGGCGGAGGCGUCCUUGAAAUACCGCCCUGAUUUGUUUGAGGUUCUAACCUGGGACAGUCAUCCUGUCCGGGGACCGUGCAUGGUAGGCAGUUUGACUGGGGCGGUCUCCUCCUAAAGGGUAACGGAGGAGUGCGAAGGUACGCUAGGUACGGUCGGAAAUCGUGCUGAUAGUGCAAUGGCAAAAGCGUGCUUGACUGCGAGACCCACAAGUCGAGCAGAUACGAAAGUAGGUCAUAGUGAUCC